Non-coding RNA from Plectropomus leopardus (leopard coralgrouper), 229 nucleotides. The record is from RefSeq and is a predicted model, not a curated record. NCBI's taxonomy places the organism in Eukaryota, Metazoa, Chordata, Actinopteri, Perciformes, Serranidae.
CAGAACAAGAUGGCAGUGGCCGCCGGCCGUAUAAGGGACAUUUUGGCCUUAUUUUUGUGCGGCUGGGGUCGACUGAUGAGGUCAUCGUGAAGGUCAACCUGGUUUUCCCUUCAGUGGGAUCAAUGCAUGAAUUUGAUCGGAAAGGAUGCACAAGGACUGCUCAGAGCAUGAAAGGAAGAGAGAGGGGGAUGACCAGCAGCAAAGGGCCACAUGCAGGAGUCAUACCCAC